GACGAAAGCAAAAAAAAGAAGAGAGAGAAAAAAAGAAAUUUUGAGACGAAUAAAAAAGUUUCAUGAUAAAUAGCGAUUUUCUUUUUCUUUUAAACCCUAUUUUUAA
Molecule: non-coding RNA, 106 nt
Filed under: Picochlorum sp. RCC944
Lineage: Eukaryota; Viridiplantae; Chlorophyta; Trebouxiophyceae
Source: RNAcentral